GGACAAGGAAUUUGAACAUAAAAUCCAUUUUACAUGCAAGGUGGUUUAAGUGUUUUAUGAUAUGGUUGAUUAAGGUUCUUAAAAAAAAGGAAACGAAUCAGCAAAAUUUGAUGAGCCUGACAGAAACUUUUAAUAGAAAUGACUUUUACCAGUUCCUUAAAGUUUAUUAAGAAACGUAAAUAAUUCGCAUCAUAAAAUAAGUUACUUUUACCAUUCGCUUCUAUAUUUGAGUUUUUCCAUUUCGGCUUGCUGCAUAGAAAUUAAAGA
This 267-nucleotide long non-coding RNA is filed under the name Mytilus galloprovincialis (Mediterranean mussel). Lineage: Eukaryota; Metazoa; Mollusca; Bivalvia; Mytilida; Mytilidae. The record is from RNAcentral.